CUGGGCUCGAACGGCUUCUUAACGGAGGUGGAAACACCACUAUCCCGCAAGGGAGUGGAGUCGAGGUGCUGCAUGGCUGUCGUCAGCUCGUGUCGUGAGAUGUUGGGUUAAGUCCCGCAACGAGCGCAACCCUCGUCCUGUGUUGCCAUGCCCGCAAGGGCGGAACUCGCAGGAGACCGCCAGCGAUAAGCUGGAGGAAGGUGGGGAUGACGUCAAGUCCUCAUGGCCUUUAUGUCCAGGGCUACACACGUGCUACAAUGGCCGGUACAAAGCGUUCCCAAGCCGCGAGGUGGAGGCAAUCGCAGAAAGCCGGUCUCAGUUCGGAUUGCAGGCUGCAACUCGCCUGCAUGAAGCUGGAAUCGCUAGUAAUGGCGGAUCAGCAUGACGCGGUGAAUACGUUCCC
This 403-nucleotide ribosomal RNA is filed under the name uncultured bacterium. RNAcentral's name for it is "bacterial SSU rRNA". It matches the Rfam family "Bacterial small subunit ribosomal RNA", at positions 975 to 1375 of the family's 1533-position model. The record is from RNAcentral.